This 229-nucleotide ribosomal RNA is filed under the name uncultured bacterium. RNAcentral's name for it is "partial 16S ribosomal RNA". It matches the Rfam family "Bacterial small subunit ribosomal RNA", at positions 568 to 796 of the family's 1533-position model. The record is from RNAcentral.
UGCGUAGGCGGAAUAUUAAGUCAGUGGUGAAAUCCUGCGGCUCAACCGUAGAACUGCCAUUGAUACUGAUAUUCUUGAAUGUAGUUGAGGUAGGCGGAAUGUGUAAUGUAGCGGUGAAAUGCUUAGAUAUUACACAGAACACCGAUUGCGAAGGCAGCUUGCUAAACUAUGAUUGACGCUGAUGCACGAAAGCGUGGGGAGCGAACAGGAUUAGAUACCCUGGUAGUCC